CCCUUAGAUGUUCUGGGCCGCACGCGCGCUACACUGAUGAACGCAACGAGACGACCUGUACCGAAAGGCAUGGGUAAACUUGUGAAAGUUCAUCGUGAUGGGGAUAGAUUAUUGCAAUUAUUAAUCUUCAACGAGGAAUUCCUAGUAAGCGCGAGUCAUCAGCUCGCGUUGAUUACGUCCCUGCCCUUUGUACACACCGCCCGUCGCUACUACCGAUUGAACGGUUUAGUGAGGGCCUCGGAUUGGUCUCGGCCCGCUCUUUACCGGGCGGCGCCGUUGGUCGAGAAGACGCUCGAACUUGAUCGUUUAGAGGAAGUAAAAGUCGUAACA
RNAcentral lists this ribosomal RNA (330 nucleotides) under uncultured eukaryote. Its description in RNAcentral is "partial 18S ribosomal RNA". It matches the Rfam family "Eukaryotic small subunit ribosomal RNA", at positions 1470 to 1796 of the family's 1831-position model. The record is from RNAcentral.